RNAcentral lists this long non-coding RNA (960 nucleotides) under Zea mays. RNAcentral's name for it is "long non-coding RNA (ZMAY_LNC000137)". The record is from RNAcentral. Lineage: Eukaryota; Viridiplantae; Streptophyta; Magnoliopsida; Poales; Poaceae.
ACCCACAACAGCAAGGGCAUCAACUACCAGAUCCUUUCCAACCCAGAGUUCCUUGCGGAGGGCACUGCCAUUGAGGACCUGUUCAAGCCUGACAGAGUGCUUAUCGGUGGCCGGGAGACCCCUGAGGGCAGGAAGGCCGUCCAGGCUCUCAAGGAUGUGUACGCUCACUGGGUUCCCGAGGACAGGAUCCUCACCACCAACCUGUGGUCUGCUGAGCUCUCCAAGCUCGCUGCCAACGCGUUCCUGGCACAGAGGAUCUCCUCUGUGAACGCCAUCUCCGCCCUCUGCGAGGCCACCGGCGCGAAUGUGACUGAGGUGGCUUACGCCGUGGGCAAGGACACGAGGAUUGGCCCCAAGUUCCUGAACGCCAGUGUUGGGUUCGGUGGGUCUUGCUUCCAGAAGGACAUCCUGAACCUGGUGUACAUCUGCGAGUGCAAUGGCCUGCCCGAGGUGGCCAACUACUGGAAGCAGGUGAUCAAGAUCAACGACUACCAGAAGAGCCGGUUCGUGAACCGCGUCGUGUCGUCCAUGUUCAACACCGUUGCCGGCAAGAAGAUCGCCGUCCUCGGCUUCGCCUUCAAGAAGGACACCGGCGACACCAGGGAGACCCCGGCCAUCGAUGUCUGCAAGGGCCUGCUGGGUGACAAGGCCCAGAUCAGCAUCUACGACCCCCAGGUGACGGAGGACCAGAUCCAGCGGGACCUAGCCAUGAACAAGUUCGACUGGGACCACCCGAUGCACCUGCAGCCGACGAGCCCGACGGCCGUGAAGCAGGUGAGCUGCGUGUGGGACGCGUACGAGGCCACCAAGGGCGCCCACGGGCUGUGCAUCCUGACCGAGUGGGACGAGUUCAAGACCCUGGACUACCAGAAGAUCUUCGACAACAUGCAGAAGCCCGCCUUCGUCUUCGACGGCCGCAACAUCGUCGACUCCGAGAAGCUGAGGGAGAUCGGCUUCAUC